CUGGACAUGAUGACAGAUUUAGAGCUGAUGCCGGUGAUGGCUGUUGUGUUCGUACUGUCUGAUCCAU
Small nucleolar RNA from Aquila chrysaetos chrysaetos, 67 nucleotides. NCBI's taxonomy places the organism in Eukaryota, Metazoa, Chordata, Aves, Accipitriformes, Accipitridae. The record is from Ensembl.